RNAcentral lists this transfer RNA (75 nucleotides) under Candidatus Collierbacteria bacterium RIFCSPHIGHO2_01_FULL_50_25. RNAcentral's name for it is "tRNA-Cys". It matches the Rfam family "tRNA". From Rfam's summary of the family: Transfer RNA (tRNA) molecules are approximately 80 nucleotides in length. Their secondary structure includes four short double-helical elements and three loops (D, anti-codon, and T loops). The record is from RNAcentral. RNAcentral also lists the same sequence under 1 other name. Lineage: Bacteria; Candidatus Collieribacteriota.
GGCCGGAUGUCGAAGAGGAAACGAAGGAGUCUGCAAAACUCCCAUGCGCGGGUUCGAUUCCCGCUCCGGCCUCCU